CUAUUUUCAUAUUCACAUCAAAUUCUAUGAAAAAAGAAUUAAUUUUAUACAGAUCCCUGUAAAUAUAGUGAACUAUAAAUAUAUCCCUAUAAAAUUUAACUUUUAUAUGCUGUCUUUGUAAAAGCCCUAAUAUUUUCAAAUAUGUCUCUCUGAAAGAGGACUUUGAAAAUCAGAUCCAAGUGCAUUUUGCCCUCCCCCUACCUUACAAAUAAUUGGCGAAUAAUCAUGCAUCUCUAUUGGCUAAAAAAUAUCAAUCUGUAAGGCGCAUGACGCUUUGAUAUUUAAACUUUAAUUUAUUAUAAUUUUUAGUUUAAACUUCGUAAAUUAUUACAGUUAAUUCCUACAAUCCAUUUUAGUUAAUUAAAUACUAGUGUCGCUGAUUUGAAAGUGAUUCUUACUUUCACAUUAGCUAUACAUGAAUGUUUUACCAACUAAAUUAGAUUGUGAAACUAAUUUAGAAAGUUCGUAUUAAAAAGUGCAAUUAAUAAAUUAAAUUCUGAGGAACAAAAU
This 510-nucleotide long non-coding RNA is filed under the name Ananas comosus (pineapple). Its description in RNAcentral is "long non-coding RNA (ACOM_LNC007529)". Lineage: Eukaryota; Viridiplantae; Streptophyta; Magnoliopsida; Poales; Bromeliaceae. The record is from RNAcentral.